This 500-nucleotide ribosomal RNA is filed under the name uncultured bacterium. Its description in RNAcentral is "partial 16S ribosomal RNA". It matches the Rfam family "Bacterial small subunit ribosomal RNA", at positions 29 to 523 of the family's 1533-position model. The record is from RNAcentral.
AUUGAACGCUGGCGGCAUGCUUUACACAUGCAAGUCGAACGGUAACAGGGUGCUUGCACCGCUGACGAGUGGCGAACGGGUGAGUAAUGCGCCGGAACGUGCCGAGUAGUGGGGGAUAACGCAGCGAAAGUUGUGCUAAUACCGCAUACGUACUGAGGUAGGAAGUGGGGGACCUUCGGGCCUCACGCUAUUCGAGCGGCCGGCGUCUGAUUAGGUAGUAGGUGAGGUAAAGGCUCACCUAGGCGACGAUCAGUAGCGGGUCUGAGAGGAGGAUCAGCCACACUGGGACUGAGACAAGGCCCAGACUCCUACGGGAGGCAGCAGUGGGGAAGUUUGGACAAUGGGCGAAAGCCUGAUCCAGCCAUGCCGCGUGUCUGAAGAAGGCCUUCGGGUUGUAAAGGACUUUUGUCAGGGAGGAAAUCCCUAGUGCUAAUAACACUGGGGGAUGACAGUACCUGAAGAAUAAGCACCGGCUAACUACGUGCCAGCAGCCGCGGUAA